AGACUGUGCUGGAGCAGCCGGCGAGCCGCCUCGCGUGCCGUGCACAUGGCAUGAGGAGCAUCCCAGCCGCAUGGCCACGCUCCCCUCGUCACCUGCAGGGAACACCUGGGUGUGGGGACAGCGGGGAGCAGCACACGUGGUUGGCACCCGGGAUGUGCAGGAAGGCUGGCUGGCACCUGACAUACAGUUUGAAAGCACUGUGGCAGAAAAAAAAACCACGAAAGUUGUUGCUUCAAAGUCUCAACCCACUAUUUUCCCUGGGCAUUGAGCCAGCCACUGAAGGAAGAGGAAAGCUGCUAUUUAAAGAGUCACCAAACCCUGCGAUUCAGGGUAACGAACACGGCUCGUUACAGUCCCCUCUGCUAAAAGCAGGGGCAAAUGGAAGAGGCACAGCUGGGUGCUGUCCUCAGUCAAACUCAGAGGAGGAAGGCCAGGGAGAUGCUGCCGGCAACUGCCUCUCCACCCCGGCUUCCCAGUGGAAUAAGAACAAACUUCACUCCUUCGCUGCCAGCAAGGAACCAGGGGCUGCUGGGCACAAGGUCCUGCCUGUUGCUGUCAGGCAAGAUGCAAGAAGAUCACUCCACUGAACUGAAAGAGCAAGGCACGGUACCUUUCACUUGUUACAGAAGUUAGCAGAUUGUACAAAGCUCCUGGUCUCACAGUUGUGAAAUAACACAUACUUUGCAUCAGAACCACGCUGGGGAAAGGAAAGGUGCAAGCUUCCAUGGAGCUGCUGUUCCUUCUUCAUGACUUGCAGCAGUACACCUGAGAACAGCUCCUGCCAGAGCCGGGAUGCUCCGUGUGUUGGCUCCUGCUGAGGGGGCACGGAAGUACGUCGGAAGAAGUUCCUGCAACACCAGAUUGCCAUCGCCUGCUUGCUCUCAGAUCCGACCGCCCCACAUCGAGCCCCUAUCUAAUUUAAGUGCUUCCCUGGGGGAAAUUAGAGGAGAAUAAAAACGAUGGGCUUUUGUUUCCAGCUUAGUCUCAGGAACGCCGAUGCUGCGUGUUGCUGCUGUAAAACCUCUCAGAAACAAUCCCAGCGUGACCUCCUGCAUCCAGGGCUUCCUGCUAUCAUAAACUGCAAAGCAGCAUGCUGUGUCCUGCCCAUAAGGCAGACAGACAACAGACUGUGGUCUAAUUAGAAAAGACAUGCUUCCCACAUUCUCCAUAAAGCCGCCUCAGCCUACAACUAAGGACAAAUAAAUAACUGUCAGCGCUAAUAAGCCCGGAAUCACAGAGGAAGGGAAGAAGCAAACUGGAUCUAUGUCAAUCUCAUCCAAUUGAUCAGAGAGAGCACGUGGCAACAACCACGAAGACAAAAGCAGCUCCACCUGCAGCAGUUCCUCUUCAGCAGAUCAGCUGUGCUCUGCUUCAUGGGGCUGUGCCAGCCCCUCGUCAUCCUUCUGCAUUGCUAAACUAACCAGAGGCCCAAACUGCCACAGGUGAUUAACAGAUCCACAGAAUGGAGGAUUGACUCCUCCAUUCUGAUGUGCCAGAGCACCCUAGGACAGCAUGGGACCAGCCAGACCUUACCAAAAUCUCCCUGUAGGAUGGGAUACACCAACCCCAAACACUUCAGCCCUCCCUGAGAGCUGGUUGUGUAACAUGUACAGUUGUACAAUUCUACCAAGCAAGAUCCUCAGCCUGUUGCUGGGGUUAAGAAAAAUGGAAGAAUUUACAUCACGGAGGGGAGUAAUUACAUGUACAAGAUUGUUCCCAGUGAUCUUUUCCAAUAGAAGACAUGAUGACCAAGUUGGAGUCACCCAAAUUGCCUCGGUUAAGUCCUCCCAUUCCUUCCUCAGCCACCAAGUGACCAUUCAGGCAUCUGUUCUGAAUUAAUUUUCAUUAAUUUUUGCCUUUCUGCCCACAGACCUGAGGCACAGCCUGGCCCCUGGACAACUUCGUUCCCUUGGGAUCCUGUCCCUGCCCUGUGAUAAGGGAGCAGCCACGGGGAUUAAGCAGUGCCGGCUUCCACGUGGCUGCAGAACCAAUGUCCUGUGUCAUUCACUGGGUACAACACACACCUGACAAGCUCUAGCAUUUCCACCACUGGCUUUUACUCACUGAGAAGAAUAUGGGCUGAACUCGAGACCAGGAGCCUGCACAAAGCUUUUCCUGCAAGAACGGUGACAGCAGGAGCCACCAUAUGGGAUGAGACACGAAGCAACUUUGCCUUAGCCCUGCUGAUUGAAUAGGACUAAUCAGGCUGAACUCAGUGCCCAUCUGCUGAUGGCUGCGUAACCAAGAAGCAUCACCCAUGAGCUGGCAGGACCAGGGCAGGGAGUGACACCCACAGCUCACCUGAUCCUCUCAGCUCCAUCCCAGAGAGAUCAGCCUCUGGAGACAGCGACUCUGCCUCUCUAGAAUGGCAGUGUUCCAGAGCUGCUCCAGGGGGUGCCACAGCAUGGAAGCAGGCAGCCCUGAAGAAGUGAUGGGACACGACCCAAAGAGACAUGAACCUUGUGAAUGUGCACUUCAGAUUGCAUCAGAAGCAGGCUCAGUACCAUGCCACAGACUCAAAACUCUCCAGAUUUCAUCCCCUCCAAUUUGUGGCACCAGCUGGAAGCCAGGACGUUGAGAGGGUGGAGAUACACCACAGAGAAGCUGCAAGAUGCACCAAGGCAGUAGAUCAGAGCCAAAAGCAAGGACCUGGGGAAAUGCAGCCUGGUCUCGCUGACAUCAUUGCAUCCUCAUCCUGUGCUGAGCCGGCUGCUCAGGGUGCGUGCCCAUGCCAGAUACACUGAUUGCUUUCUGCAAACAGCUUAUCCGCAGACAGCUGGACUAAACCCAACCCCAUUUCACGUGAGUCACUGACCAAGAGGUCAGGAAGCAAUGCCUCCUCAGCUCCAUCUGCAAGGGCUGGAUUCAAACCACUGACUACAGCACCGGAGAAACUCCCCAGUUUCCCCCCUAACUCCUCAGCUAAAGGACAUUUCUUCCCCACCGACAUCCCCAGUGGCUGUAUCAGAAUGAGCAGAGCUAUUUCUCCCUGCAAUGCCUACAGGAAAAUUCCCUUUCAAAGGCUCAGUUAUACAGGAACAUCUCAGGAACUGCCCGUGUGAGUCAGCUAUUCCCCUGAAUCCUAACAACCUUUUCUGCAGGAGCUGGUUGGGAAAGGAAAAAGCAGAAAGACAAAAAGAUUGUGUCCUAAAUAAAAACACACGUAACCACUUGCCAAAAAAGAAAAAAAAAAUAGAGGAAAAAACACAUUUAGCUUUUUAGGGCGGUAACAAGCAGAACAAUAUUCAGCUUCAAGGCUAUGCAGGCAGGUCAGAAAAUCCUCCAGAGAAGAAGAACUAGGCCACAGAACUCCAAUGCAGCUUCUCGAAUCUGCCCCUGUUAUCCAAAACUGGUGGUGAGGUCACUCUGAUGGCUGAGCUGGCUGCUCUCCUUUAUACAGGUGUUCACGUGGCCAUGGGAAGUCUGUGCUCCUGCUGGCCUCCCUAGCUGGCUCUAGAACACACAGCCAAGCUCCAGCACAGCAAGAGGUGGAGCUGGCAGACAACUUCCUGGGGGAAAGCUCUUUGAGUUCACUCGUCCCCACCUCCCCCAGGGAAAUCACUUAACCAUUGCGAGUAACAGCAUUGCUGAAAAGAACGUGCAAAAACCUGGAAAAUGCAUCAUUUUAUCAACAGAAGCAAGGUCAUCCAAACCCAGCGAUGACUACAUUCAAUAUUAAUAUCUCCCUUUCUCCAAGCAGGGUUCGAACCUCUUGGUAAGCAUCCAUUCCCCAGAGAAAUGUCUUCCAGUAACUUUGAUGUGAACUAAUUACGUUUGCACAGCUAAUAAGUGCCAUCUGCCCGAGACUCCGCAGCCUGGGAGAGGAAGGGCUGCUCAGCUCAGUGCUGGCUGUGCCAGCGCCCUCACUGCUUCCUCCUGCACAACACAAACCCAAAUCCCAGCAGGGAUCUGGCAGUGGGAACGCAGCGCAGCCAGAAUGAUGGAGCCUCGGAUGGAUGCCUUCCUCCUCACACAUCUUAUUUGACCCUUGGUUUAUCCUCAUUUCCAGGAACUCCAUUUCUUUCUGUUGGUCCAGCCCUGAGCUGCCGUAUACAAUGCUUUAAUGAGGUCCACUCCACUGACAUAAAGGGCACAUCAACAGCACUGCUCCAUUUAUUUCUACUUGGCACAUUCAACCUAAUUCUCAAAAAAAGAGUUUGAAAAGAUCCAUUAAGAGUGCAGCCCCAACUGGUAAACAAUGCCCAUUUCUGGAUGGGCCUCAGCAACCCAAUCAGUGAAGGCAUUUAAGGACAGCACGUACAAUAUUGGAAAAUGAAAUUGCUUUGAAAAAAGAUUCCUUCUUGCUUAUUUGCCAGAUAAUGACAGAAGAGCUGAUGCCAAGCACAGCCAAUCUGUCCGAGGGUGUUCAAAGAGAUGCUCCCUAUGCUGAGGCUCCACUCCUUUCCCUUCUCACCACCCAGAUGCAUCCAGCCUGCUGUUCCCCACCCUCACCUGGGCAGAACACCUCCAGGCAACGCAUCUCCAUCAAUACAGAGGCAGCAAAAUCCCAAAGCUGUGUGACGAGGUAUACCGGUGCCUUGUUUUUCUUUCCCAAUACAAAAACAUCCUGGAUUUUGCACUCUUCUUUCACCGGAGGCAAGGACACGUUGUUGAGUUGUCUUCCCCUUGUAAAUAUUUGCUGCUGAAAUCCGUUUGUAGUACAAAACUUCUCUAAGGAAGAGAGAAGCUGACUCUCUGUUGUAUUUAGUACUAUUUCUUGUGUCAUCUGCUGUGUUUCCCUACUAUUUUUACAGAUUUAAGAAGUACCGGAUGCUAUUCUGCAUGCAGAAAUACAGAGAUAAAAAAAAAGAAGAAGAAAGGCAAAGCAGCUCCACAAAUAGAGCUCAGAAUUAAGCCCUAUUUUGGGAGCCCCAGGCUCAGCUCCUUGCUGUGCCACAUCUCCCACGUGGCCCUGCUGCUGCCCUACCACCACAGGGACAGCAUCCCAAUAAGGGUGCAGCCCCACUUAUGGACUCCCCAGGGCCCUGCAGGGGCUCUUCCAUUGCAAAGCCCAAAGCAGUGCAGCCAUACUGGCCCUGGCCACAGCUCCCUGAGUGCCAUCCCAUGGCACCCCGCUCUGCCCUGUCCCUUCCCCCUGUUAACUUCCAUAUAAUAACUGAAAAAUUUGACAAGCCCAACUUUAAUCAUGUUCUAACUGGGGUCGGUAUCAUUAAUCUCGCAGCCACUGAUGGGUAAUUUAAUUAGGGUGCAUUUGUAAUGAAUUACAAUCAUCAUUUAGCGCUAUUGUUCCUAACACGAGCAGAGGGGAGGCAGAAGACCGGCAUCGUUGAUCUUUUUAAUUACACUCACACAAUACGAAAGCCACCCCAGCCCCAACUGCUCAGUGCUGGUGGCACAGGCACACACAAGCAGCAGUCAUCCUGCAGCCUGAGCCCAGCCUGCUCCCCACCAGCCCUGGGAGUGGGACCUUUGCUAGAGCAGAGAGAAAUACCAAAGCCAGGACAGAAACCGCACACCCCAGCUCUGCUUCCCACCAGCUAUGAAUACUUGAUACAGAUUUUAAGGACCAGCCUGACACUUCACAUGGCCAAGUGCUCCAGAAGUAUUCCAACAACCUACGCAAUUAAAGGAUAGCAUAGUAAUAAGGCACGAUUACUUGGUGAUGGUUGCAUAGCCACACUCACAUUAUAUGCACGUGCAAGGCUGCAGACAUUGACAGAGAUCUAAUGCACGAGAACAACCUGCCACAGAGCUCUAAAUCCAUCUCUAUAGCCCCUUCCCAGAAAUUUCCAGCCCCAAAUGUUUGCCUGGACAGCUCCUUCGCUGCUCUCUGCAGGAUGCAUGGCAGUGAGUGCUUGCAGUUAUUUCAGCCCUGGCUCCAGAUUGCAAAACAGGAGCAAUCUGCCGCCGGGGCUGAGUGCCAGCUGACCUCCUCAGCACCUCCGUGCAGAACACCAGGAGUUUUGGUACCUCCACGCAGAACACCAGGACUCUUCACUCCAGACACAUAAACUGGCAUCCCUGUGCUGAUGGCAUCCCAACCUGCUUUCAAACUAAAGUGCUCUGAAGGGCUGCCCAACUUCCCUGGGUCUCAAUACGAAAUACAACAGCUCGGAUGUGUAGGACCGAAGGAAAGCAAGUCCUGCACCUCUCCUCCAGUAGGGUGGCCAGGUCCCCUCCCUGCUGUUUUGGACAUGGGUCCAUGCAGAGCACCUGGGUUCCAGAGCCCCAAGGCAGGGCUGUCCCAGGGGGACACAGGAGGCUCUUCCUGCUGCUCAUCCUGGGGAGCAGCAGUGCAUUUUUUCUCAUCUAGCAAACCUCUUUCUUUAGGAAAAAAAAGAGCUUAUCAAGUUGGACUGGUAAGCCAUGCCCCUGUGCCAGCAAAAUGAGUAAAGAAAAUUAUCAAAUACAAGCAAAAAUCUUCCGUGGCAACUUAAUAUGGGAAGGAAAAGGAUUGCUGUUGCUCAGAGCAAAGGAUAACCACACCUCUGUGAUUUGGCAGUGCUCUUUCCGAGAGUUAACAAAACAGCAGGGUAAAGAAACUCCAUUGGAAGUGUUUUUGUAGACCUUCCCAACAUUUCUAAUAGAAACCCUC
Molecule: long non-coding RNA, 6556 nt
Organism: Gallus gallus (chicken)
Lineage: Eukaryota; Metazoa; Chordata; Aves; Galliformes; Phasianidae
Exons: 2
Source: RefSeq, a predicted model, not a curated record